RNAcentral lists this ribosomal RNA (423 nucleotides) under uncultured bacterium. Its description in RNAcentral is "bacterial SSU rRNA". It matches the Rfam family "Bacterial small subunit ribosomal RNA", at positions 355 to 775 of the family's 1533-position model. The record is from RNAcentral.
UAAGGAAUAUUGGACAAUGCCCGCAAGGGUGAUCCAGCCAUGCCGCGUGCAGGAAGAAGGCCCUAUGGGUCGUAAACUGCUUUUACACCGGAGAAAACCCCCUUUCGUGAAAGGGGCUGAUAGUAUGGUGAGAAUAAGCAUCGGCUAACUUCGUGCCAGCAGCCGCGGUAAGACGAAGGAUGCAAGCGUUAUCCGGAUUCAUUGGGUUUAAAGGGAGCGUAGGUGGACUGAUAAGUCAGUGGUGAAAUCUCCGGGCUUAACCCGGAAAUUGCCAUUGAUACUGUUGGUCUUGAGUACAGUUGCUGUGGGCGGAAUAUGACAUGUAGUGGUGAAAUACAUAGAGAUGUCAUAGAACACCGAUUGCGAAGGCAGCUCACAAAGCUGUAACUGACACUGAGGCUCGAAAGUGCGGGGAUCAAACAG